UAGGGAAUCUUCGGCAAUGGACGAAAGUCUGACCGAGCAACGCCGCGUGAGUGAAGAAGGUUUUCGGAUCGUAAAACUCUGUUGUUAGAGAAGAACAAGGGUGAGAGUGGAAAGCUCAUCAAGUGACGGUAACUACCCAGAAAGGGACGGCUAACUACGUGCCAG
RNAcentral lists this ribosomal RNA (165 nucleotides) under uncultured bacterium. RNAcentral describes it as "partial 16S ribosomal RNA". It matches the Rfam family "Bacterial small subunit ribosomal RNA", at positions 355 to 511 of the family's 1533-position model. The record is from RNAcentral.